This 467-nucleotide unclassified non-coding RNA is filed under the name Hevea brasiliensis (rubber tree). Lineage: Eukaryota; Viridiplantae; Streptophyta; Magnoliopsida; Malpighiales; Euphorbiaceae. The record is from RNAcentral.
UGUUGAUACAGCUGGGAGAAUGCAGGAUAAUGAACCACUCAUGAGAGCUCUCUCAAAGCUUAUCAACCUUAACAGUCCGGAUCUAGUCUUGUUUGUCGGGGAGGCCCUCGUUGGGAAUGAUGCCGUUGAUCAACUUUCAAAGUUCAAUCAGAAACUAGCUGACCUCUCAACUUCACCCGAACCCAGACUGAUUGAUGGUAUCUUGCUCACAAAGUUCGACACCAUUGAUGACAAGGUUGGAGCGGCAUUGUCUAUGGUUUACAUAUCUGGAGCACCGGUAAUGUUCGUCGGCUGUGGACAGUCGUAUACUGACCUCAAGAAGCUCAAUGUCAAAUCGAUCGUCAAAACGCUUAUCAAAUGAGAGGGCUGUGCCAGUACGAACACUCUCCCUUAUGUAUCGAUGAUGAGAUUUAUGAAUUUGUUUGUGUUGUUGAUUGCCCCCUAUGACCACCCAAUUCCCAUACAAA